RNAcentral lists this transfer RNA (65 nucleotides) under Hydatigera parva. RNAcentral's name for it is "tRNA-His". Lineage: Eukaryota; Metazoa; Platyhelminthes; Cestoda; Cyclophyllidea; Taeniidae. The record is from RNAcentral.
UUACCUAUAUGUUAUUAAACUUAUAGUUUGUGGCGCUAUAGUACACUGUGUUUGGUGUGGGUAAA